GGCGCUGUAGCUCAAGUGGUAGAGCGCUCGCCUUGCAUGCCUGAGGCCCUGGGUUCGAUUCCUCAGCACCA
RNAcentral lists this transfer RNA (71 nucleotides) under Dipodomys ordii (Ord's kangaroo rat). It matches the Rfam family "tRNA". Rfam says of the family: Transfer RNA (tRNA) molecules are approximately 80 nucleotides in length. Their secondary structure includes four short double-helical elements and three loops (D, anti-codon, and T loops). Lineage: Eukaryota; Metazoa; Chordata; Mammalia; Rodentia; Heteromyidae. The record is from Rfam by way of RNAcentral.